RNAcentral lists this ribosomal RNA (380 nucleotides) under uncultured bacterium. Its description in RNAcentral is "bacterial SSU rRNA". It matches the Rfam family "Bacterial small subunit ribosomal RNA", at positions 30 to 410 of the family's 1533-position model. The record is from RNAcentral.
AUUGAACGCUGGCGGCAUGCCUUACACAUGCAAGUCGAACGGCAGCACGGGAGCAAUCCUGGUGGCGAGUGGCGAACGGGUGAGUAAUAUAUCGGAACGUGCCCAGUCGUGGGGAUAACGUAGCGAAAGCUACGCUAAUACCGCAUACGAUCUAUGGAUGAAAGCGGGGGAUCGCAAGACCUCGCGCGAUUGGAGCGGCCGAUAUCAGAUUAGGUAGUUGGUGAGGUAAAGGCUCACCAAGCCGACGAUCUGUAGCUGGUCUGAGAGGACGACCAGCCACACUGGGACUGAGACACGGCCCAGACUCCUACGGGAGGCAGCAGUGGGGAAUUUUUGGACAAUGGGCGCAAGCCUGAUCCAGCAACGCCGCGUGCAGGAUG